This 253-nucleotide ribosomal RNA is filed under the name uncultured bacterium. RNAcentral describes it as "partial 16S ribosomal RNA". It matches the Rfam family "Bacterial small subunit ribosomal RNA", at positions 524 to 776 of the family's 1533-position model. The record is from RNAcentral.
UACGUAGGGGGCAAGCGUUGUCCGGAAUCAUUGGGCGUAAAGCGCGCGUAGGCGGCCCGGUAAGUCCGCUGUAAAAGUCCAGGGCUCAACCCUGGAAUGCCGGUGGAUACUGUCGGGCUAGAGUCCGGAAGAGGCGAGUGGAAUUCCUGGUGUAGCGGUGGAAUGCGCAGAUAUCAGGAGGAACACCGAUGGCGAAGGCAGCUCGCUGGGACGGUACUGACGCUGAGACGCGAAAGCGUGGGGAGCGAACAGG